Long non-coding RNA from Daphnia pulicaria, 465 nucleotides. RefSeq lists it as uncharacterized. Lineage: Eukaryota; Metazoa; Arthropoda; Branchiopoda; Diplostraca; Daphniidae. The record is from RefSeq and is a predicted model, not a curated record. The transcript is spliced from 2 exons.
AACCCAUCGGUGGAAACAUCAUGGCUCACGCGUCUACUACUCGACUUUACUUGCGCAAAGGUCGUGGAGAAACCCGAAUUUGCAAAAUCUACGACUCCCCCUGCUUGCCAGAGUCUGAAGCCAUGUUCGCAAUUUUGCCCGAUGGCAUUGGCGACAGCAAAGAGUAAACUGCCACAGAAGGGACCGUCCUCCGCUACAGGUUAUUACCCCCUUUCUUGUAAACCCUUUUAUGAAUUCUCCGUUUUUAGUUGUUUAAUAAGUUUCGAUUCACCACCGCCCCAGAAAUAUCAAUUUGUCUUUGUUUAUAAGUAGGUGGGAAAUCGAAAAAACGUCAGUGUACAUGGUUUACCUGUAACUUUAAAAUAUCUUACGCAAUCUACCCUAUUCGCAUUCUGUUCAACAUUGUUCUGAGAUUAUCAGUGGCAAUUACUGCUUGAAUUUGAAUACAAAUAUUUUUUUUCUCAA